RNAcentral lists this long non-coding RNA (872 nucleotides) under Gallus gallus (chicken). RNAcentral describes it as "long non-coding RNA NONGGAT001335". The record is from RNAcentral. Lineage: Eukaryota; Metazoa; Chordata; Aves; Galliformes; Phasianidae.
GCGAGGCGGCGGCGGCGGUGGGGUCGCGUUAGGCGGGUGUCGCGUACGGCCGAUAGCUGCCGCCGCCUCAGAGGGCGGGCUGAACCGCGCUCCCGCCUCGGUGAUGUGCCGGUGCUGUUACCAGGCAUCGAGGGGGAAAAACAAAACAAAGCAAACAAAAUAAUAGCACAAAAGCUCUUCACCUCAGGAUCAGCCCUAAGCGCUGCUCGGCUCCCCUUUAUCCUUGUUGCAUGGAGCAGCCACGCUUUACGCAGCCAGGCACCACCUGCGGCUGCAGAGGUCCUCCGGUGAUUCCCUGUGAAGUUCUCCCCUCAGUGCUUAGGUGGGGUUUUCUUUCCUGCUAGCUCAAAGUCUGAAAUGUUUUGCCGUUCUAUAGGCAACUAAGCUGUGGUGUAAUGCCAAGCACGAGCUCAGAAACCCAGCCCUUCACAGGGAAGACAUUGUUCAUAUUCACUAGAAUAGAUGUGACUUACUGCCGCUUGUAUGGUGAAUUAGGGGCUGGGCUGGCAUUAGUGAUGCUCCAACUUUGGUGAAACCAAUCUCAGUGAAACGAUCUUGUGAGGAACUCAGAAGUUUCAACUUUGAAUUAAGAGAUUAACGCUACCACCACAGUCCAAGCAAUACUAUGGAUACAUUGGGAACUGAGGGCCUGCAAAGACGAGUUCUGUUUCAGGCCUGCUGCCAGAAGGAGCUCUGUGAAAGGCUGGAAUGUCUGCGAGGAAUGGCACGUUACAGCAGCGGCGGUGCAUCUGUUGUGCAUGGCAGCUGCUGUGCAGCACUGGGCUCUCUGCAUCCUCUUGGUAUUUACAGACAACUGCUUUGAAUGUUAUGUUUUGUGUGGACACCUGUAAAAUACACUGCACAGGUUCUUG